UAGUCCACGCCGUAAACGAUGGACACUAGUUGUUGGGAUUUAUCUCAGUGACUAAGCGAAAGUGAUAAGUGUCCCACCUGGGGAGUACGAUCGCAAGAUUGAAACUCAAAGGAAUUGACGGGGGCCCGCACAAGCGGUGGAGCAUGUGGUUUAAUUCGAUGAUACGCGAGGAACCUUACCAGGGCUUAAAUGUAGUCUGACAGCUUUAGAGAUAGAGUUUUCUUCGGACAGAUUACAAGGUGCUGCAUGGUUGUCGUCAGCUCGUGCCGUGAGGUGUCAGGUUAAGUCCUAUAACGAGCGCAACCCCUGUUGUUAGUUGCCAGCGAGUAAUGUCGGGAACUCUAGCAAGACUGCCGGUGCAAACCGCGAGGAAGGUGGGGAUGACGUCGAAUCAUCACGGCCCUUACGUCCUGGGGCCACACACGUGCUACAAUGGCCAGUACAGAGAGCAGCCACUUAGUGAUAAGGAGCGAAUCUAUAAAGCUGGUCACAGUUCGG
This 498-nucleotide ribosomal RNA is filed under the name uncultured bacterium. Its description in RNAcentral is "bacterial SSU rRNA". It matches the Rfam family "Bacterial small subunit ribosomal RNA", at positions 791 to 1296 of the family's 1533-position model. The record is from RNAcentral.